GUUCGCCGCCCUAAUCGUCCUGACCACUGUGCUGUGACGGACCCACCAACUCCCUUUACCGUUCUAUCCUCUUUCCCUUCAAUUUCUUCACCCAAAAAAACGUCUUCUUCGCCCCCAUUCCAAAACACCUCUCCUCUUCCUCCACCUCCUCGGCUGUCGUCUAUCGUUGGAGCCACUCUUUGUCUUGUUUUGGUAGUAAAGGGAUUGUAAAGAGAGAAAUUUUAUAAUGAGAGAUGGUGGGUUUAAGCAUAGUUUUGGAGGCACAAAAGGGUGGUGUUAACGAGAAAACCCCACAACUGAUCAGCAAAGCCAUUGUGAUGAUCAAUAAACCCUCUCCUUCUUCAAGCUCUUUUUCUUCCCACUCGUCUUUUCCGGUACUUAAUUUUCUUGAGCAUUGCUUCCUCUGUGGACAGAAACUCUUGCCUGGAAAGGACAUCUACAUGUACAAGUAAGCAGUAUGUAGCAAACAAACACCAUACUGUUACUACUUCUCUUCCAUUUUUAAUGUUUUUCUUUAAAUACCCACAUCUUAUUUGGUGGAUAUUGGCCCAAUAAGCACUUCAUUCUCGCUUGCCAAUCUCUAAAAGAUGGAUCUUUUUCUCUUUUUUUGAUGUUUAUACUGUGUUUUUGUGUUAAGCGGUAGUGAGCUCUAAUGGCUUUGUGUUUAUAUUUCUUGUUAAAAGGUUGAUUUGGGUGGUUAUUUUCUUUUAUAUGUAGAGGAGACAUAGCUUUUUGUAGCGUGGAGUGCAGGUGUAGGCAGAUAUUUAUGGACGAGGAGGAGACCCUGAGGAAAGGUAACUGUUCGCUGGCAGCUAUUAAACCAACUUCUGCAUCCUCAUCUUCUGCUUCUCGUCACCACAAAAGCACCAGAAACCGAGCAGGUGGUUCUGCGUAUUGAGAGAGAAAAGGAACGGAAACUUGUUUCGUUUUCAAUUCCAAUAAUUUUGUUUCAGUUUUACCCUAGUGUGAAAUGGCAUUGAUAUCCUCUCUGUCGUUUUUCAGUUUUACCCUAGUGUUUUUGUAAUGACGUUGAUGUCCACAAUCGUCUUUUGCUAAGGGCAUUCAAAUUAGCCUGACGUAUCUACGGAAG
This 1090-nucleotide unclassified non-coding RNA is filed under the name Hevea brasiliensis (rubber tree). Lineage: Eukaryota; Viridiplantae; Streptophyta; Magnoliopsida; Malpighiales; Euphorbiaceae. The record is from RNAcentral.